GAAGGAAUUGAGGAAAUCUGCUAUUUUCUUAAUGCUGCUGGUGAUCACUUCGAUAUAUUCACGGUUCGCCCAGUCUUGAUGAAUUUCCCUUUGCACGGGAUCCUCCUGUCCGGCCAUCGUGAGCUAGUGAGCUAGUUAGCAAUAGCAUUAGCCGCUGACUGAGAGGAAGGAGCAGCGCCCCCUGAUGGACAAACACACCGUUCAUUGUGGAUACUACGGGGAAUGGAGGGAUUUGAAAAUAAACACAAAUAGGCGAUUUGUAAAAGUAAAAGAGUGAUGUCAAGCAAGUUUAGAAACUGUAGGCGAAGCCUUGCUGCCGCUUUGGAUCAGGCAGCAGAAGAGGUUCCUGAUUUAUCAUCAUUGUCUCCAAACAACUGCAGCCUGAUUAGAACAUCACAGGAGGACACGUAUGUAUUUGACCACUGCACAGAGAGGCCAGAUUGCAUGUGUUUUUUUGUGCGUAUACUGUUUUAUCAGUGAUAAAUGUGCUGCAGUUGGCCUAAUUAUCAUGCCUGUCACCAAUAACGAGGGCGUUUUCUAUAAAUAGGAAUGAAGACUUUCAGUGCCGCACAUGGUCUGCAAAACUGCAAGAUCCUCAUGGGCUCCUCGAUGCGCAGACCUUGGAGGAUCUUGUGGCAAAGCUGGAGUUUGAAAAUGAGCUGAACCGCGUCUACAGUAGAUUCCUGCAAAGUAAAAACCAAGACCAUGGAAAGAACACAGAAAGUGUUAAUAGCGAGGUGGAAGAGGGAAGUACAGGCUACUGGGUUCACGAUAGUAAGGAGGAAUAUUCCUUCUUGCUAGACAUGAUUCUUGAGAUUGAGCGGGACAAUGACUUCACUGCUGACUGUGAUGUCAGUGCUUUGGAGCGGGACUUACAGUUAUCACCAUAGUUUUGGUGCCCUCAACGAUUUAUAUGUUAUACUUCUUUUCAGUUUGAAGGAAAUGGGGUCAUUUCCAAAAGAAAAUAUAAGCUACUAAAAAAUUGGGGCUACUUGCAAAGUUGUAUAGAUGUAUGUUUGUAUAGCAGAGUUUAUAGCAAUACAGUAUAUACAUGUCAUUCUUAAUUAGUACUUGUGUAAAUUAAUUUAUUUCUGCUCUAGGAAUCAAUAUCAAUAAAACAGAUUAAUAAUCACUCCAUUCUAAAGGACAAAUUAUCCAUUUUUUAACAUUGAUCUGUUUAAAUUACAAGGAAAAAAACUACAUUGUCUGACUCACACUGAAUAAAAUACACAUGGUUCGU
Molecule: long non-coding RNA, 1240 nt
Organism: Sinocyclocheilus anshuiensis
Lineage: Eukaryota; Metazoa; Chordata; Actinopteri; Cypriniformes; Cyprinidae
Exons: 3
Source: RefSeq, a predicted model, not a curated record